This 275-nucleotide long non-coding RNA is filed under the name Sorghum bicolor (sorghum). Its description in RNAcentral is "long non-coding RNA (SBIC_LNC018813)". The record is from RNAcentral. Lineage: Eukaryota; Viridiplantae; Streptophyta; Magnoliopsida; Poales; Poaceae.
CUUUUGGGGUUUGCCAAAAUCUUGGAAGUGUCUCACUGAACCUGGGGAGAAGACCUCAAGACGAAAGUUUGAGAGCCGCUGAAUUACAACUUGCUUAAAGGCCAUAGCCAACAUACUCUCUGAAUCAGACUCAUUUGCAAAGAAAAAAUCAUAUCCGAAUUGUUUCUCUAUCUUGCUGGCCUUAUCUUUAACUUCCCUCGCUUGCAAAAUCUACAAAAAUUACCACAGUUUACUCAUGACGAUCCAGCAAAACAUGGGAAACCCAGCAGAAAUCC